This 1369-nucleotide ribosomal RNA is filed under the name metagenome. Its description in RNAcentral is "bacterial SSU rRNA". It matches the Rfam family "Archaeal small subunit ribosomal RNA". The record is from RNAcentral.
AGUAACACGUAGCUAACCUACCCUUAGGACGUGGAUACCCCCGAGAAAUUGGGGUUAAUCCGCGAUAGAUGUAAUGUCCUGGAAUGGUAUUACGUCUAAAGGUAUUUCAUACAUGUUUGAAAUAUGCCUAAGGAUGGGGCUGCGGCCGAUCAGGCUGUUGGUGAGGUAAUGGCUCACCAAACCUUUGACCGGUACGGGCCAUGAGAGUGGUAGCCCGGAGAUGGACACUGAGACAAGGGUCCAGGCCCUAAGGGGCGCAGCAACCGCGAAACCUCCGCAAUGCACUCACGUGCGAUGGGGCUAUCUCGAGUGCCACCUGAUGAAGGUGGCUUUUUCCUUGGUCUUCAAAGCCUUGGGAAUAAGAGGGGGGCAAGACUGGUGUCAGCCGCCGCGGUAACACCAGCCCCUCGAGUGGUGGGGAUGAUUAUUUGGCCUAAAGCGUCCGUAGCCGGCCGAGCAAGUCUUCCGUUAAAUCCAGCGUCUCAAGCGUUGGACCGCGGGAGAUACUACACGGCUAGAGAGUGGGAGAGGUCAGCGGUAUUCUGGGGGUAGGGGCGAAAUCCUUUGAUCCCCGGAGGACCACCAGUGGCGAAGGCUGCUGACUAGAACACGUCUGACGGUCAGGGACGAAAGCUGGGGUAGCGAACCGGAUUAGAUACCCGGGUAGUCCCAGCCGUAAACGAUGCAUGCUAGGUGUUGGGUUGGCCACGAGCCACCCCAGUGCCGCAGGGAAGCCGUUAAGCAUGCCGCCUGGGAAGUGCGAUCGCAAGAUUGAAACUUAAAGGAAUUGGCGGGGGAGCACCACCAGGCGUGAAGCCUGCGGUUUAAUUGGAGUCAACGCCGGGAACCUUACCGGGAGCGACAGCAGAAUGAAGGCCAGAUUGAAGAUCUUGCCAGACGAGCUGAGAGGAGGUGCAUGGCCGUCGCCAGUUCGUGCCGUGAGGUGUUCUCUUAAGUGAGAUAACGAACGAGACCCGUGCCACAUGUUGCCACCAGUAUCUAAAGGAUAGCUGAGCACUCUUGUGGGACCGCAGCCGAUAAGGCUGAGGAAGGUACGGGCAACGGCAGGUCAGUAUGCCCCGAAUCUCCCGGGCCACACGCGGGCUGCAAUGGUACAGACAGAGGGCUGCCACCCCGAAAGGGGGAGCCAAUCCCUAAACUGUACCUCAGUUGGGAUCGAGGGUUGCAACCCACCCUCGUGAACAUGGAAUGCCUAGUAACCGCCAGUCAUCAUCUGGCGGUGAAUACGUCCCUGCUCCUUGCACACACUGCCCGUCGAACCACCCGAAUGAGGUUUGGGUGAGGAAUGGUCGAAUGUUGGCCGUUUCGAACCUGGGCCUCGUAAGGAGGGUUAAGUCGUAACAAGGUG